UGCAAGUCGAACGGUAAGGCUACUUCGGUAGUACACGAGUGGCGCACGGGUGCGUAACGCGUAUGCAACCUACCUUCAGCUGGGGAAUAGCCCGGAGAAAUCCGGAUUAAUACCCCAUAACACAGGGAACCCGCAUGGGUAUAUUGUUAAAGACUUCGGUCGGUAGAAGAUGGGCAUGCGUCUGAUUAGCUUGUUGGUGAGGUAAUGGCUCACCAAGGCAACGAUCAGUAGCUGGUCUGAGAGGAUGAUCAGCCACACGGGCACUGAGACACGGGCCCGACUCCUACGGGAGGCAGCAGUAGGGAAUAUUGGACAAUGGGCGAAAGCCUGAUCCAGCCAUGCCGCGUGAAGGAUGAAUGCCCUCUGGGUUGUAAGCUUCUUUUAUCAGAGAAGAAAAAGUUCCAUUUAUGGAGCCUUGACGGUACCUGAUGAAUAAGCACCGGCUAACUCCGUGCCAGCAGCCGCGGUAAUACGGAGGGUGCAAGCGUUAUCCGGAUUUACUGGGUUUAAAGGGUGGGUAGGCGGAUCAAUAAGUCAGUGGUGAAAUCCUGCGGCUCAACCGUAGCACUGCCAUUGAUACUGUUGGUCUUGAAUAUAGACGAGGUGGGCAGAAUGUAGCGUGUAGCGGUGAAAUGCUUAGAUACGCUACAGAACACCGAUUGCGAAGGCAGCCCGCCAGACUAUUAUUGACGCUGAGGCACGAAAGCGUGGGUAGCGAACAGGAUUAGAUACCCUGGUAGUCCACGCCCUAAACUAUGAUAACUCGAUAUUGGCGAUAUACUGUCAGUGCCCAAGCGAAAGCGUUAAGUUAUCCACCUGGGGGAGUACGUUCGCAAGAAUGAAACUCAAAGGAAUUGAC
RNAcentral lists this ribosomal RNA (859 nucleotides) under uncultured marine bacterium. Its description in RNAcentral is "bacterial SSU rRNA". It matches the Rfam family "Bacterial small subunit ribosomal RNA", at positions 56 to 914 of the family's 1533-position model. The record is from RNAcentral.